Molecule: ribosomal RNA, 119 nt
Organism: Leptobrachium leishanense (Leishan spiny toad)
Lineage: Eukaryota; Metazoa; Chordata; Amphibia; Anura; Megophryidae
Source: Ensembl
GUCUACUGCCAUACCAUCCUGAAAGCACAUGAUCCCGUCAGAUCUCAAAUGCAAUCAAGGGUAGGGCUUGUUCAGUACCAGUGUGGGUGACUGACUGGGAAUAGCAAGUGCUGUAGUAA